CGAACGCUGGCGACGUGCCUAAAACAUGCAAGUCGAACGAGGUAGCAAUACCUAGUGGCGAACGGCGAAGUAAUACAUGAACAACCUGCCUUAAAGCUUGGGAUAUACAGAGGAAACUCUGGGUAAUACCAAAUGUGACCAUUCUGCGGCAUCGUAGAAUGAUUAAAGGUUUUUCGCUUUAAGAGGGGUUCAUGGCCUAUCAGGUAGUUGGGAGGGUAAUGGCCUACCAAGCCGACGACGGGUAGCGGGUCUGAGAGGAUGAUCCGCUCGAGUGGGACUGAGACACGGCCCACACACCUACGGGUGGCAGCAGUUGGGAAUCUUGCGCAAUGGGGGAAACCCUGACGCAGCGACGUCGCGUGGAGGAUGAAGGAUCUAGGUCUGUAAACUCCUUUUUCAGGGAAAGACUUAGGACGGUACCCUGAGAAUAAGCACCGGCUAACUACGUGCCAGCAGCCGCGGUAAGACGUAGGGUGCAAGCGUUGUCCGGAUUUACUGGGCGUAAAGGGCGCGUAGGCGGUCUGUUAAGUGUAGAGUGAAAUCUCCAGGGCUCAACCCGGAAACUGCUCUGCAUACUGGCAGACUUGAGGGACGAAGAGGUAUGUGGAAUUCCUGGUGUAGCGGUGAAAUGCGUUGAUAUCAGGAGGAACACCCAUGGCGAAGGCAGCAUACUGGUCGUUUCCUGACGCUGAGGCGCGAAAGCGUGGGU
RNAcentral lists this ribosomal RNA (709 nucleotides) under uncultured soil bacterium. RNAcentral's name for it is "bacterial SSU rRNA". It matches the Rfam family "Bacterial small subunit ribosomal RNA", at positions 30 to 766 of the family's 1533-position model. The record is from RNAcentral.